CAUGCUUCCAUAGUAACAAAACAGAACAGCUGUUGACCAAGCAGUUUGAUCUUUACAGACAAAUAUGUCAUCGUUGAUACAACUUGAAAAACAACAGGUAGGUCUUUGAUGAUCAAGACCUCCUUGAAGGAUGGUAGAAUAUAUUAACAGUGGUCUUCAUCUAAGUAGAAAAGAACUGUCAGAAAAACUACCACAGUUAAGAGAAAAUUGCAUGAAACUGAAUGACAGAUUCAAGGUUUUCCUAAAUAGACUUAAAAUGCAAAGAACAACAAAGGUGGAGAUGAAGAGAGACACUAGUUUUGACAGUUGCUGGUACUUCAAGAAACUUUUCAGGAAGAAAACCCAACAGACCAGGUGGCGGAAGGCUGUGAAAUACAGACUGGCAAGCGAACAGGUCAAGGAAAAGAGAAACAGUGGAAAAAAUGCCUCUUUUCUGGGACUGCUUAGAAGGUUGAGCCCUUGGAGAAAACAGUAUGAGGGAGAAAAAGAUGAAGCUAAGGAACUGAUUGCUUUGGAUUUAUUAGGCAUACGUUGUGGCACAGAGUAGAACGGGAAAUGUGCAUAAUCUGAUACUGAGCACAUUCAUACAUAUAUUUUCUCUAAUUUUCCUGCUACAUGAAUAAAGGCUAUUUAUUUAUUCCUUA
Mauremys reevesii (Reeves's turtle) is the source of this 644-nucleotide long non-coding RNA. RefSeq lists it as uncharacterized. NCBI's taxonomy places the organism in Eukaryota, Metazoa, Chordata, Testudines, Geoemydidae. The record is from RefSeq and is a predicted model, not a curated record. The transcript has 2 exons.